Molecule: ribosomal RNA, 320 nt
Filed under: uncultured eukaryote
Lineage: Eukaryota
Description: partial 18S ribosomal RNA
Rfam family: Eukaryotic small subunit ribosomal RNA
Source: RNAcentral
CCCCUAGAUGUUCUGGGCCGCACGCGCGCUACACUGAACAGUUCAACAAGUCUUAACCUUGGCCGAUAGGUCUGGGUAAUCUUUGAACGCUGUUCGUGAUUGGGAUAGACCUUUGCAAUUAUGGGUCUUCAACGAGGAAUUCCUAGUAAACGCAAGUCAUCAGCUUGCAUUGAUUGCGUCCCUGCCCUUUGUACACACCGCCCGUCGCACCUACCGAUUGAAUGGUCCGGUGAAAUCUCGGGACGGCGGCUUGGUCGCUUGCGUCCGACUGCUGAAACUUGAUUAAACCAUAUCAUUUAGAGGAAGGUGAAGUCGUANCA